Molecule: ribosomal RNA, 1341 nt
Filed under: uncultured bacterium
Lineage: Bacteria
Description: partial 16S ribosomal RNA
Rfam family: Bacterial small subunit ribosomal RNA
Source: RNAcentral
GACGAACGCUGGCGGCGUGCUUAACACAUGCAAGUCGAACGGUAAGGCUCCAGCUUGCUGGGGUACACGAGUGGCGAACGGGUGAGUAACACGUGGGUGACCUGCCCUGCACUUCGGGAUAAGCCUGGGAAACUGGGUCUAAUACCGGAUAGGACCGCACCGUGAGGGUGUGGUGGAAAGUUUUUUCGGUGUGGGAUGGGCCCGCGGCCUAUCAGCUUGUUGGUGGGGUAAUGGCCUACCAAGGCGGCGACGGGUAGCCGGCCUGAGAGGGUGGACGGCCACAUUGGGACUGAGACACGGCCCAGACUCCUACGGGAGGCAGCAGUGGGGAAUAUUGCACAAUGGGCGGAAGCCUGAUGCAGCGACGCCGCGUGGGGGAUGACGGCCUUCGGGUUGUAAACUCCUUUCACCAUCGACGAAGGGUUUCUGACGGUAGAUGGAGAAGAAGCACCGGCUAACUACGUGCCAGCAGCCGCGAUAAUACGUAGGGUGCGAGCGUUGUCCGGAAUUACUGGGCGUAAAGAGCUCGUAGGUGGUUUGUCGCGUCGUCUGUGAAAUUCCGGGGCUUAACUCCGGGCGUGCAGGCGAUACGGGCAUAACUUGAGUACUGUAGGGGAGACUGGAAUUCCUGGUGUAGCGGUGAAAUGCGCAGAUAUCAGGAGGAACACCGGUGGCGAAGGCGGGUCUCUGGGCAGUAACUGACGCUGAGGAGCGAAAGCAUGGGGAGCGAACAGGAUUAGAUACCCUGGUAGUCCAUGCCGUAAACGGUGGGCGCUAGGUGUGGGUUUCCUUCCACGGGAUCCGUGCCGUAGCUAACGCAUUAAGCGCCCCGCCUGGGGAGUACGGCCGCAAGGCUAAAACUCAAAGGAAUUGACGGGGGCCCGCACAAGCGGCGGAGCAUGUGGAUUAAUUCGAUGCAACGCGAAGAACCUUACCUGGGCUUGACAUAUACAGGAUCGCGCCAGAGAUGGUGUUUCCCUUGUGGCUUGUAUACAGGUGGUGCAUGGUUGUCGUCAGCUCGUGUCGUGAGAUGUUGGGUUAAGUCCCGCAACGAGCGCAACCCUUGUCUUAUGUUGCCAGCACGUUGUGGUGGGGACUCGUAAGAAACUGCCGGGGUUAACUCGGAGGAAGGUGGGGAUGACGUCAAAUCAUCAUGCCCCUUAUGUCCAGGGCUUCACACAUGCUACAAUGGUCGGUACAGUGGGUUGCCAGUCCGUGAGGGCGAGCUAAUCCCGCAAAGCCGGUCUCAGUUCGGAUCGGGGUCUGCAACUCGACCCCGUGAAGUCGGAGUCGCUAGUAAUCGCAGAUCAGCAACGCUGCGGUGAAUACGUUCCCGGGCCU